GACGAACGCUGGCGGCGUGCUUAACACAUGCAAGUCGAACGGAAAGGCCCUGCGUUUGUGGGGUGCUCGAGUGGCGAACGGGUGAGUAACACGUGAGUAACCUGCCCCUGACUUUGGGAUAACUUCAGGAAACUGGGGCUAAUACCGGAUAGGAGCUCCUGCUGCACGGUGGGGGUUGGAAAGUUGCGGCGGUUGGGGAUGGUCUCGAGGCUUAUCCGCCUGAUGGUGGGGUUGGGGAUUCCAAGGCUUUGACGGGUAGCCGGCCUGAGAGGGUGACCGGGCACAUUGGGACUGAGAUACGGCCCAGACUCCUACGGGAGGCAGCAGUGGGGAGUAUUGCACAAUGGGCGGAAGCCUGAUGCAGCAACGCCGCGUGCGGGAUGACGGCCUUCGGGUUGUAAACCGCUUUCGCCUGUGACGAAGCGUGAGUGACGGUAAUGGGUAAAGAAGCACCGGCUAACUACGUG
RNAcentral lists this ribosomal RNA (467 nucleotides) under uncultured bacterium. RNAcentral's name for it is "partial 16S ribosomal RNA". It matches the Rfam family "Bacterial small subunit ribosomal RNA", at positions 28 to 507 of the family's 1533-position model. The record is from RNAcentral.